RNAcentral lists this ribosomal RNA (397 nucleotides) under uncultured bacterium. Its description in RNAcentral is "partial 16S ribosomal RNA". It matches the Rfam family "Bacterial small subunit ribosomal RNA", at positions 523 to 918 of the family's 1533-position model. The record is from RNAcentral.
AUACGUAGGUGACAAGCGUUAUCCGGAUUUACUGGGCGUAAAGGGCGUGUAGGCGGUCUUGCAAGUCAGAAGUGAAAUUCCUGAGCUCAACUCGGGCGCUGCUUCUGAAACUGCAGGACUUGAGUGCUGGAGGGGAUAGCGGAAUUCCUAGUGGAGCGGUAAAAUGCGCAGAUAUUAGGAAGAACACCGGUGGCGAAGGCGGCUAUCUGGACAGUAACUGACGCUGAGGCGCGAAAGCGUGGGGAGCAAACAGGAUUAGAUACCCUGAUAGUCCACGCCGUAAACGAUGAAUACUAGGUGUAGGGGGUAUCGACUCCCUCUGUGCCGCAGUUAACACAAUAAGUAUUCCGCCUGGGGAGUACGGCCGCAAGGUUGAAACUCAAAGGAAUUGACGGGG